UGGGAAGUAAAAAUCGUAACAAGGUUUCCGUAGGUGAACCUGCGGAAGGAUCAUUAGUGAAUAUAGGACGUCCAACUUAACUUGGAGUCCGAACUCUCACUUUCUAACCCUGUGCACUUGUUUGGGAUAGUAACUCUCGCAAGAGAGCGAACUCCUAUUCACUUAUAAACACAAAGUCUAUGAAUGUAUUAAAUUUUAUAACAAAAUAAAACUUUCAACAACGGAUCUCUUGGCUCUCGCAUCGAUGAAGAACGCAGCGAAAUGCGAUAAGUAAUGUGAAUUGCAGAAUUCAGUGAAUCAUCGAAUCUUUGAACGCACCUUGCGCUCCAUGGUAUUCCGUGGAGCAUGCCUGUUUGAGUGUCAUGAAUACUUCAACCCUCCUCUUUCUUAAUGAUUGAAGAGGUGUUUGGUUUCUGAGCGCUGCUGGCCUUUACGGUCUAGCUCGUUCGUAAUGCAUUAGCAUCCGCAAUCGAACUUCGGAUUGACUUGGCGUAAUAGACUAUUCGCUGAGGAAUUCUAGUCUUCGGACUAGAGCCGGGUUGGGGUUAAGGUAUAUGCUUGUAAUCAGAACGUGGAACAAAUAAAUGUAAGCAGAAUUCAGCUCACGCCUUACUUCCGGG
This 620-nucleotide ribosomal RNA is filed under the name Rhodotorula mucilaginosa. RNAcentral describes it as "eukaryotic LSU rRNA". The stretch from base 210 to 363 matches the Rfam family "5.8S ribosomal RNA". Lineage: Eukaryota; Fungi; Basidiomycota; Microbotryomycetes; Sporidiobolales; Sporidiobolaceae. The record is from RNAcentral.